Long non-coding RNA from Phascolarctos cinereus (koala), 491 nucleotides. RefSeq lists it as uncharacterized. Lineage: Eukaryota; Metazoa; Chordata; Mammalia; Diprotodontia; Phascolarctidae. The record is from RefSeq and is a predicted model, not a curated record.
UUUCUUAAUGGGUAACUUAGUUAAUCAGAAAUUGGAUCAUUUACGUAGUCUAAACAGGCUCUUGCCUUAGACAAUGUGUUACCUCAAAGAUCAGGGGAAGCACCAAGCACCCUAGAGAAGAAGGGCUUGGAGAGUCUGACAAUCUGAAGCUUCUGCCUGAGAGCUGAAGGAAUCAGAAAAUGAGCUUGAGAGGUUUCUAGAGGCAAAGCAGCUGGUCUGCCUGAGGCUGACAGUGGAGGGGAAAGAGAGGAAGAAGCAGUAAAGGGAGUCAUUUCCAUCCAAGGAUCAGAAGAAAGACUUGGUUUUAACUUGCUGGUUUUGAGCCUGGAGAAAUACAUCCAAACCACCAGUUACAUGUUGGAGGCAUCAGUCUGGGCCCAGUUUUAUUUUCACAAAAUCUACAUGUGGAGCUAGAUGAUCAACCCUAUGCCUCUGUUUUUCAUCAAAUACUAUCAUCUCUAGAGAGCAAUAAAGCAAUGUUGGAGAAGGCC